Molecule: RNA transcript, 2037 nt
Organism: Cavia porcellus (domestic guinea pig)
Lineage: Eukaryota; Metazoa; Chordata; Mammalia; Rodentia; Caviidae
Gene: Ccnq
Gene name: cyclin Q
Exons: 6
Source: RefSeq, a predicted model, not a curated record
GGGGGGCGGGGCCUGCGGAGCAGGGCGGGGCCGCCGCGCCCGCCGCGAGGACCCCCGGAGCCGGCCUCGGCGCGCCGGGGGCGCUUCCCCCUCCCGAGGAGCUUUUGGGCCGCGGGGCGAGGCCUCAUGGAGGCCGUGGGCCCGGAGAGCUGCAGAGGAAUCGCGGUGUCUGGGGCUGAAGGCCGGCCAGCGCUGGUGGAGAGGGUGCACUUUCGUGUAACAAGGUUCAUCAUGGAGGCAGGUGUCAAGCUUGGGAUGCACUCCAUUCCCAUUGCCACCGCGUGCACCAUUUACCAUAAAUUCUUCUGUGAGAUCAACCUGGAUGCGUAUGACCCUUACCUGGUCGCCAUGUCUGCCAUUUACCUGGCUGGCAAAGUAGAGGAGCAGCACCUGCGGACCCGAGACAUCAUCAACGUGUCCAACAGGUACUUUAACCCAAGCAGCGAGCCUCUGGAGCUGGACUCACGCUUCUGGGAGCUGCGGGACAGCAUCGUGCAGUGUGAGCUCCUGGUGCUGCGAGUCCUGCGCUUCCAGGUAUCCUUCCAGCACCCUCACAAGUACCUGCUCCACUACCUGGUUUCCCUCAAGAACUGGCUGAACCGUUACAGCUGGCAGCGGACUCCCAUCUCUGUCACAGCCUGGGCCCUGCUGCGGGACAGCUACCAUGGCGGGCUGUGUCUCCGUUUCCGGGCACAGCACCUGGCCGUGGCCGUGCUCUACCUGGCUCUGCAGGUCUACGGAGUUGAGGUGCCUGCUGAGGCUGAGGCUGAGAAGCCGUGGUGGCAGGGUCUUCCUGCAUAGUCUGGCCUUGAACUCACUAUGUAGCCCAGGCAGAUAGCCAGUCAUCCUGCUUCAGCCUGCCGAGUGCUGGGAUGACGGGUGUGCGGCACCAUGUCUGGUGUAUCGGAUGCUGGAAACACUUCUCACGCGCUCUCAGCUGUUGCUUCUUGCAGUCACUGCCUCCUGUCCCUUCAGCCUGAGAGCCCAGCGCUUCCCAGCUACCAGCCAGCCUGCACAUAGGCCCCUGUGGGUUUGGGCUUCAGGAGGUACAUCUCUGGCUGCAAGAUGAGUGGGGGCAGCAGUGCCAGCAGUGGGCACAGAGUUCCGGAAGGCUCUGAGUGCAGAAGUGCACCUGGGGCCCCCUGUGCUGUUUCCAACAAUGGGGAGGGCCGGGUACAGGGGAGAAACUGUAGAGCGCACAGUCCAGCCAUUGCCAUGCAUCCCCACCCAUCUGCAGAAUUCCCCCGUGUGACCAAGCCCUGUCCCGGGAGACACUGGUUCUCCAUGGCUCUGUGUGGCCCCUGUGGAUCUGUGAUUGUCCUGUGUGUCAGUGUGUUCUUCUUUUUGGAUUCAUUGAUUGAUCGAUUAGUUUGGCCUCACUGUGUAGUUCAGGCUGGCCUUGAACUCACUGUGUAGCCCAGGCUUGCCUGGAACUCACAGAGGUCCUCCUGCCUCAGCCUCCCAAAUCCUGGAUGACAGGCACGUGCCCCUUUCCCCAGCUGUCCCUUCCUUGAGAAGGCUGUAACAGGCGGCGCAGGGAUGGUCCAUCCACACAGGAUUCAUCUACUCAUCUGCGUACAUUCGAGGAGCUGCUCCUCUUUGGCUAUCAACACUUGGCUUUUGUUUUAUUUCUAGCGCUUUGGAAUGGUCACGUCUCAGCACGGGGUCCCCAGGACACACAGGUGGGGGCUGCGGAGGGACCUCCUUUCUUAGGAGAUUUAGGUGGGGCAGACUAAGGUCCAGGUCUUGCCCGUGGGCUUAACUUUGUAGGUGCCUUGAUCCCCUGGGCAGCCACCCUGGCCGCAGGAUUGCUGCUUCGCCCUUUACUUCCUCUUGUUGUAGGUGGGGGGAGUUCCCCAAAGCAGCACCACCUCACUCACCGGGGACUCCUGGACUCCACAGACCGUUAACAAAAGGACGCCGUGGUGCAGGUGUCUGAGUCAGGAGCCAGGAGAGAUUUAUUCCAUGGACACAGAGAUCCCCUAAGGCCCUGGCCCAGGCCUGCCCAAAGAGAAGCCCAGGAUGGCCGGCUGCCUG